UGGCCAAGAGGGUGACCGCUUGCACAGGGCAA
RNAcentral lists this small RNA (32 nucleotides) under Bombyx mori (domestic silkworm). RNAcentral describes it as "ovarian small RNA-34790". The record is from RNAcentral. Lineage: Eukaryota; Metazoa; Arthropoda; Insecta; Lepidoptera; Bombycidae.